GAUGAACGCUAGCGGCAGGCUUAAUACAUGCAAGUCGAGGGGCAUCAAGGUACACGAAAGUGUAUUGUUGGCGACCGGCGGACGAGUGAGUAAUAGGUAGGUAACCUACCUCAUACUGAGGCAUAGCUGGGAGAAAUUCCAGGUAAUUCCUCAUGAGGUUAUAUGACACAUGUGAUAUAAUCAAAGGUAUCGCAAGGUAUUGGUAUGAGAUGGGCUUACUGACCAUUAGCUAGUUGGUGAGAUAAGAGCUCACCAAGGCGAAGAUGGUUAGGGGUUUUGAGAGAGAGAUCCCCCACAUUGGAACUGAGAUACGGUCCAGACUCCUACGGGAGGCAGCAGUAGGGAAUAUUGGGCAAUGGGCGGAAGCCUGACCCAGCCAUGCCGCGUGAAGGAAGACGGCCUUAUGGGUUGUAAACUUCUUUACUAUGCGACUAACUAGAUUUACGAGAUAAUUCUAUAGAAUGUAGCAUAGACAAAAAGCAACC
RNAcentral lists this ribosomal RNA (485 nucleotides) under uncultured bacterium. Its description in RNAcentral is "bacterial SSU rRNA". It matches the Rfam family "Bacterial small subunit ribosomal RNA", at positions 28 to 495 of the family's 1533-position model. The record is from RNAcentral.